Molecule: long non-coding RNA, 1898 nt
Filed under: Chelonoidis abingdonii (Abingdon island giant tortoise)
Lineage: Eukaryota; Metazoa; Chordata; Testudines; Testudinidae
Description: lncRNA (ENSCABG00000000010.1)
Source: RNAcentral
AGUGCAUAACUCCAGUAGGUACUCUUAAAGGUGUUUCUCUAUAAACUGAAAUAAAAUUUGAUGUUACAAGCAAAACAGUGAGUAAUCUAAUAGCUCAUCUAUGCCAUAGAUGAAAAGUUAGAUUGUCUCCUGCAUCUUUUAGAACAUGUUUUGAUUUUCUACCUUUUUUUUCCAGCAAAGCUUUGAGAUAUUGAGUGAAGAUGAUGCAUCCUUUAUCCUAAAGGUUACACAAACUCUUACGAAUGCAUUGGUGGAGUAUCGGCAACAGGGUGCACCAACAAAUGACUCUUUAGAUUCUGAACCAAAUCAAGAAAAAACAAUUGAACAUUCCACAGAACAAUCUGAUGCGACUUCGGUGGAUAUUAGUGACUGUAACACCGGAUUUUCAGCAAAUUAUAUGUCAGACAGGAGGAAACAUCCUGCCCAACAACCAUAUGACAGCACAGCAGCAAAGUCUAAUGUUAGUGGAACAUUCAUGAGAAAGGAUUCACAAUCAGUGAACUUUUCAAAAAGCAAUGCUACAAAUUGGAAACGUGGAACUUUUCAAUCCACGUUUAAAGUAUUAAGUAAUGAAGAGUCCUUAGAGUCUGCUUCUGCUACUGAAGAGCAAUAUCCCUCCUCUUCUCAAAACAUGUCUAAUGAAAAGUUUUUAUCUGCUAUUGAGAGAGAUGCACCCCAAAACUCUUUAUCUGACUCUUUGAGAACAUCAUAUGAAAACGAUGUCACUACUGAAUUUUUCAAUAGUGUAAGAAAUAUGGAUGCUGCUGAGGUUACGGCUACUCUACAGAAAAUAGCAGCUACAAAUCCAGCCUUCAGAGGUAUUGACAUUCCAAAUGUGAUAAGGAUCUUGACUGAAAGUGGGACUCUUAGAGCACCAAACAGCAACAGUGUACAGUGAUAUGGGAAAACAAGAAGUGAUAUUAAUGUUGUAAUGUGUAAACUGAAAAUUUGUCACUUGUAUGCAAUUAAUUUUGGUGUGUUCAAACUCUGUACAGUGUUACUUGUUAUAUCUCCAGAGUAAUAGUUUGAUUUUGCAGAUUUGUGUGUUAUAUUUAUUUCUCCCAAUUGCUGGAAUUUCUGUAUUUGUGGAAAGAGACUGUAAUGUUGAUAAAAAAAAAAUAUUUUUUCUUUGUUAAAGAUAAUCACUUUUGAAAAUUACCCCUAAAAAUGGUUUAGCUAUAUCUUGGCUACGAAGCUUUUACAUAAUGGAGGGCUGAUCUUUCCCCCCCUAAUUCUUUAUAAAAAUAACUAAAGAAAGGAAUUGCACGGGUAGAGUACAAUAUACAGGUUUGAACCUUCUAGGUCAUUAGUUCAAAUUUGACUCAAGAUUAUCUAUACCCAAAAGAUACUUCCUUUUGCAGCUAUUCAUUGGCCACUGGAUCUGAUCCAAAGUCCCCUUUUAGUCAAAAGAGAGACUCCCAUUGACUUAUGUGGGUUUUGGAUCAGGCCCCGUCAUGUAUGAGUUAAGAUUAUAGUGUCAAUCUGGUUCCUGGUUGAGGUGUCCAAAUUGCAUGAAACCCAUCAGUGUUGGAAAUUUAAUUGGAAGACUCAGCAAACAGGGCAGAGAUUGAAGUGUGUCUCCAAGUGAUCUAGUCAGAUCAUGGCUGAGAUACAACGCAGUGAUUUUUAUUUGCUCAGUGAGAAACGUAUCCCAACGGUUAUCGGUGCCUGCUGUGUCCUGCAUAAUAUCUGUGAAGCAAAGAGGGAGGAUAGUCGCUGCUGGGAUGGAGGGCGGAGAUGAAGCAGUUGUCUGCCGAGUUUGAAGUGCCGUUAGAAGAGCUCUACACAGAUCCAUACAGCUCAGGGAAGCUUUGAAAAGAGCACUUGAACAGCGAGCCACAGUAAUGUGUUGUGGUAUACUGAGCUCUAGCUGGAUCUGCAGUUUGGGGGCUUGUUAG